GCGUUAUUUUUUGACUUUUGCAAUCUAUAUAUUUUGUAGUUUACUAUGUUGAAUCUUGCCAAGCUUGAUUUCACGACUGGAUAUUUCGGACAAGAAUUACUUGUCAUGGGUGCUAGAUGCUGAAACUCACCUGAAUGCCAAUGGGCUUGGUGAUGCGAUAAAAAAAAUGCAUCUAGCCAAGAUAAAGCUAAGGCUUUGAUUUUGUUCUUUGAAACAAACUAAAAGAAAGAUUUGGUCAUCAGAAAAC
Molecule: long non-coding RNA, 247 nt
Filed under: Brachypodium distachyon (stiff brome)
Lineage: Eukaryota; Viridiplantae; Streptophyta; Magnoliopsida; Poales; Poaceae
Description: long non-coding RNA (BDIS_LNC003458)
Source: RNAcentral